GUUUCACCAUGUUGGCCAGGCUGGCCUUGAACUCCUGACCUCAGGUGAUCUGCCUGCCUUGGCUUCCCAAAGUGCUAAGAUACAGGCGUGAGCCACUACACCCUGCCAGAACAUUUUUGAUACCCCAAAAAGAAGCCUUAGUCAUCACCCUGUUUUAUAACUCAGAAUAUGUUAUGUUUUCUUUUUAAACCUACAAGGCUACUAAACUAAUUUAAUAUAAACACCUCUUUACCAAACUCCAAGAAAUAACCAAGUUGUUCUAUUGUUAUUGGAAUUGUUUCAGAAUAUAUUCUAAGCACAAGCUCUUCCGGCUCAACUUCUUUAAGGAUCUCAUCAGAGGGACUGCUCCUCUAUCGAUAAACACCCAUGCACCUAUCUUUGUGACCUCUUAGAACCUCACUGACCUGAAGCCCAUUCUUAGGCUGUGGGUCUUAGGGUACUUCUCAAGCUCUCGCCCUUUGUUGGGCAUUCUGGUCUCUAGGAAUGCAGUGGUGAGCAGUCCCUGGUCUAGGGGGUCUCAUGAUGUUGAGGUUGGACAGGAGGGUCUGUGCAUAGAGGACUCACCUCUGCUUUUCCCCACUCUGUGGAUGGUAAAGGGCACGGGCAGCUUGUUCUGCCUCUUUGAGGCUUGUUUUGUUUUUUUAACUCUAAAUCCAGACUUUAUGUAUUGAUGUAUUGCUGUGUUGAUUCAGUUUUAAACUAGCCAGUCCCUGGCACAUAGAUAGUAAGCAUGCAGCAAGCAUUUGCUGAAUAAGUGAAUUUGAGAAUGAAUUGGAGGUAAAGCUCAGGAAACCUUUCUUGUGUACUGCUACUGACCAUCAUACCUGUCAAGCGGGAUACUGGGCACUUUUACCUCUUGCCAGCCAAGCUGGAUGUAAUUUUCCUUCCUCUGAAAUUCCCAUAGAGUAUAUCUGCCCCAAAGCUACAUUCAUUUUAUACGUCUAUUACUUCUUACUACCCUGUUUUCUGUUUAUAACCCCCCCUCUUCCAAUCCCACUCAGGUAAAACUGUGUAUAAUUGUGGAGAGUGACAAUGGUUUAAUGACCUUGGAUAAAUUGCUGCUUGAUUUCUCCAGCCUCAGUUUCUUCAUCUGUUAAGUGAGGAUAGAAAGAGUAUGUUAGGACUGCUGUGAGGAUUAACUGAGCUCAUCCACAUGGAUCAUUCAGAACAGAGCCCAGCACUUAAGUGUCAGCUGUUUUGCCAUUUCUCACUGUUGUAUUUGCCAGAGCACUCGAGUACUGCCUAGUGCUUUUUUGGUAUUCAAAUGUAUGUUUUGAAUGGGAA
Sapajus apella (tufted capuchin) is the source of this 1284-nucleotide long non-coding RNA. RefSeq lists it as uncharacterized. Lineage: Eukaryota; Metazoa; Chordata; Mammalia; Primates; Cebidae. The transcript is spliced from 2 exons. The record is from RefSeq and is a predicted model, not a curated record.